RNAcentral lists this long non-coding RNA (318 nucleotides) under Nicotiana tabacum (common tobacco). RNAcentral describes it as "long non-coding RNA (NTAB_LNC014875)". Lineage: Eukaryota; Viridiplantae; Streptophyta; Magnoliopsida; Solanales; Solanaceae. The record is from RNAcentral.
CGGCACGUGUAGUUUCGAGGUUAGGUUAUUUCAACCUGCCCUUCCUCGCUGACUAUCGAUACUCCCAAAAACAUUUUUGGUUUGCACACAAAGAUAACAUAAAUACAAAUAUAUUUACCUCAUAAUCUUUCACAUUGUAUAAAUCUCCAUUAGUACUUUCAACCAAUCACAACAACAAUAUUCCCUUGGCUCUUUUGGCCAUUCACAAGAUUCAUUAUUCAAGGCACGGUGGCCGUAUUUGAUAUUUAUCACUUUUAUUUUAUCCCUCUCAUGUAUCAACAUCAUAAAUAUCAACAUAUAUAAAAUUCCGGAAAUCAC